GAUGAACGCUGGCGGCGUGCUUAACACAUGCAAGUCGAACGAAGCAUUCUUCCGGAGUCCCUUCGGGGGCGAAGGGGGACUGACUGAGUGGCGGACGGGUGAGUAACGCGUGGGUAACCUGCCCUAUACUGGGGGAUAACAGUUGGAAACGGCUGCUAAUACCGCAUAAGCGCACGGCACCGCAUGGUGCAGUGUGAAAAACUCCGGUGGUAUAGGAUGGACCCGCGUCUGAUUAGCUGGUUGGUGGGGUAACGGCCUACCAAGGCGACGAUCAGUAGCCGGCCUGAGAGGGCGACCGGGCCACAUUGGGACUGAGACACGGGCCCAAACUCCUACGGGAGGCAGCAGUGGGGAAUAUUGCACAAUGGGGGAAACCCUGAUGCAGCGACGCCGCGUGAGCGAAGAAGUAUUUCGGUAUGUAAAGCUCUAUCAGCAGGGAA
This 440-nucleotide ribosomal RNA is filed under the name uncultured bacterium. RNAcentral describes it as "bacterial SSU rRNA". It matches the Rfam family "Bacterial small subunit ribosomal RNA", at positions 28 to 446 of the family's 1533-position model. The record is from RNAcentral.